This 954-nucleotide ribosomal RNA is filed under the name Allophoma sp. LH-2020b. RNAcentral's name for it is "partial large subunit ribosomal RNA". It matches the Rfam family "Eukaryotic large subunit ribosomal RNA", at positions 74 to 1048 of the family's 3401-position model. Lineage: Eukaryota; Fungi; Ascomycota; Dothideomycetes; Pleosporales; Didymellaceae. The record is from RNAcentral.
AUUGCCCUAGUAACGGCGAGUGAAGCGGCAACAGCUCAAAUUUGAAAUCUGGCGUCUUCGGCGUCCGAGUUGUAAUUUGCAGAGGGCGCUUUGGCAUUGGCAGCGGUCCAAGUUCCUUGGAACAGGACGUCACAGAGGGUGAGAAUCCCGUACGUGGUCGCUAGCCUCUACCGUGUAAAGCCCCUUCGACGAGUCGAGUUGUUUGGGAAUGCAGCUCUAAAUGGGAGGUAAAUUUCUUCUAAAGCUAAAUACUGGCCAGAGACCGAUAGCGCACAAGUAGAGUGAUCGAAAGAUGAAAAGCACUUUGGAAAGAGAGUUAAAAAGCACGUGAAAUUGUUGAAAGGGAAGCGCUUGCAGCCAGACUUGCCUGUAGUUGCUCAUCCGGGUUUCUACCCGGUGCACUCUUCUAUAGGCAGGCCAGCAUCAGUUUGGGCGGUUGGAUAAAGGUCUCUGUCAUGUACCUCCUCUCGGGGAGAACUUAUAGGGGAGACGACAUGCAACCAGCCUGGACUGAGGUCCGCGCAUCUGCUAGGAUGCUGGCGUAAUGGCUGUAAGCGGCCCGUCUUGAAACACGGACCAAGGAGUCUAACAUCUAUGCGAGUGUUUGGGUGUCAAGCCCGAGCGCGUAAUGAAAGUGAACGGAGGUGGGAACCUUUCGGGGUGCACCAUCGACCGAUCCUGAUGUCUUCGGAUGGAUUUGAGUAAGAGCAUAGCUGUUGGGACCCGAAAGAUGGUGAACUAUGCUUGAAUAGGGUGAAGCCAGAGGAAACUCUGGUGGAGGCUCGCAGCGGUUCUGACGUGCAAAUCGAUCGUCAAAUUUGGGCAUAGGGGCGAAAGACUAAUCGAACUAUCUAGUAGCUGGUUCCUGCCGAAGUUUCCCUCAGGAUAGCAGUAACGUUUUCAGUUUUAUGAGGUAAAGCGAAUGAUUAGAGGCCUGGGGGUUGAAACAACCUU